Molecule: ribosomal RNA, 492 nt
Filed under: uncultured bacterium
Lineage: Bacteria
Description: partial 16S ribosomal RNA
Rfam family: Bacterial small subunit ribosomal RNA
Source: RNAcentral
AGUGAACGCUGGCGGUAGGCCUAACACAUGCAAGUCGAACGGCAGCACAGUAAGAGCUUGCUCUUACGGGUGGCGAGUGGCGGACGGGUGAGGAAUACAUCGGAAUCUACUUUUUCGUGGGGGAUAACGUAGGGAAACUUACGCUAAUACCGCAUACGACCUACGGGUGAAAGCAGGGGAUCUUCGGACCUUGCGCGAUUGAAUGAGCCGAUGUCGGAUUAGCUAGUUGGCGGGGUAAAGGCCCACCAAGGCGACGAUCCGUAGCUGGUCUGAGAGGAUGAUCAGCCACACUGGAACUGAGACACGGUCCAGACUCCUACGGGAGGCAGCAGUGGGGAAUAUUGGACAAUGGGCGCAAGCCUGAUCCAGCCAUGCCGCGUGGGUGAAGAAGGCCUUCGGGUUGUAAAGCCCUUUUGUUUGGAAAGAAAAGCAGCAGGUUAAUACCCCGCUGUUCUGACGGUACCCAAAGAAUAAGCACCGGCUAACUUCGUG